CUGCGAAUGGCUCAUUAAAUCAGUUAUCGUUUAUUUGAUAGUACCUUCCUACUUGGAUAACCGUGGUAAUUCUAGAGCUAAUACAUGCUAAAAACCCCGACUUCGGGAGGGGUGUAUUUAUUAGAUAAAAAACCAAUGCCCUUCGGGGCUCCUUGGUGAAUCAUGAUAACUUAACGGAUCGCAUGGCCUUGCGCCGGCGACGGUUCAUUCAAAUUUCUGCCCUAUCAACUUUCGAUUGUAGGGUAUUGGCCUACAAUGGUUUCAACGGGUAACGGGGAGUUAGGGCUCGACUCCGGAGAGGGAGCCUGAGAAACGGCUACCACAUCCAAGGAAGGCAGCAGGCGCGCAAAUUACCCAAUCCCGACACGGGGAGGUAGUGACAAUAAAUACUGAUACAGGGCUCUUUUGGGUCUUGUAAUUGGAAUGAGUACAAUUUAAAUACCUUAACGAGGAACAAUUGGAGGGCAAGUCUGGUGCCAGCAGCCGCGGUAAUUCCAGCUCCAAUAGCGUAUAUUAAAGUUGUUGCAGUUAAAAAGCUCGUAGUUGAACCUUGGGCCUGGCUGGCCGGUCCGCCUCACCGCGUGCACUGGUCCGGCCGGGCCUUUCCUUCUGGAGAGCCGCAUGCCCUUCACUGGGUGUGUCGGGGAACCAGGACUUUUACUUUGAGAAAAUUAGAGUGUUCAAAGCAGGCCUUUGCUCGAAUACGUUAGCAUGGAAUAAUAGAAUAGGACGUGCGGUCCUAUUUUGUUGGUUUCUAGGACCGCCGUAAUGAUUAAUAGGGAUAGUCGGGGGCAUCAGUAUUCAAUUGUCAGAGGUGAAAUUCUUGGAUUUAUUGAAGACUAACUACUGCGAAAGCAUUUGCCAAGGAUGUUUUCAUUAAUCAGUGAACGAAAGUUAGGGGAUCGAAGACGAUCAGAUACCGUCGUAGUCUUAACCGUAAACU
RNAcentral lists this ribosomal RNA (943 nucleotides) under Hysterium rhizophorae. RNAcentral describes it as "SSU rRNA". It matches the Rfam family "Eukaryotic small subunit ribosomal RNA", at positions 87 to 1038 of the family's 1831-position model. The record is from RNAcentral. Lineage: Eukaryota; Fungi; Ascomycota; Dothideomycetes; Hysteriales; Hysteriaceae.